Molecule: ribosomal RNA, 449 nt
Filed under: uncultured bacterium
Lineage: Bacteria
Description: SSU rRNA
Rfam family: Bacterial small subunit ribosomal RNA
Source: RNAcentral
AGGAUGAACGCUGGCGGUCUGCUUAACACAUGCAAGUCGAACGGAGUAGCAAUACUUAGUGGCGGACGGGUGAGUAACGCGUGAGAAUCUACCUUCAGGACGGAGACAACAGUUGGAAACGACUGCUAACCCCCGAUGUACCGCAAGGGCAAAUAUUUAUAGCCUGAAGAAGAGCUCGCGUCCGAUUAGCUAGUUGGAGAGGUAAAAGCUCACCAAGGCGACGAUCGGUAGCUGGUCUGAGAGGACGAUCAGCCACACUGGGACUGAGACACGGCCCAGACUCCUACGGGAGGCAGCAGUGGGAAUUUUCCGCAAUGGGCGAAAGCCUGACGGAGCAAGACCGCGUGGGGGAAGAAGGCUCUUGGGUUGUAAACCCCCUUUUCUCUUGGGAAGAACACAAUGACGGUACCAGAGGAAUCAGCAUCGGCUAACUCCGCGCCAGCGGCCGC